CUCAGUUCCAAACUGUAUCUGCUCUAAUCCUAAAUAUCCUAAGUAAAUUUAAAAGCGUCCAACGCCCAAGCUCCAAGCUUUACUGCCCAAAAAAGUGCAUAAACCGUUCCAAACGGCAAACUGAUCCAAUCAGUAGCUAUUUAGGAGCGUCGUUGUUCUCCACACUUGCCAAGUGAACUAUCCCUCCCAGAGGAAGAUGUCGAUCGUCACCGACAAAUUGGAAGCGUCACCUUCCGACAAUGCACUUCCUAGAACAUCCCACAGUUCCGUUCUACAGAAAUUUACUUGUAUUUUAAAGACAUCCUAUGAAACCACCAAACCGACUUUAUUGAUGUCCAAGCCCAGCUUUAUAUUCAAUUAUGACUGUAUUACCAUACACAGUUUCCAAAUUACCUAUAAUCCUAAAUUCAGUAGUCCAACUAGUUUAAAUUCUCUUUCCUUAGCAGUCCAACUGCAUUUAAAUCCUCGUAGCAGUCCAACUGCUUUUCCUUUAAUCAGUACUGUCACUUAACCUUACAUUAUCAUUACUUCAACUUCAAUUCUCAUGAGAUUUUCACCAAAAUCAAAACAGACCUUUACCAGUAAUUUUCAGUGAGUAGACUUUCAAUUUUGUCAGAACCAAUUCAGCACUGUUUGGAAAUAAUUCAACAGGUAGUGCCUUACCUUUGAAUAAGCCGGCUUAUGUCCACUCACUUCGACCACUGACUCGUGUCUGCCUGUUUGAGCACCUUGGACCCUCUCAGUCUCAACCUCCAACUCUCUCUACUCAACCUCGGCCAAUGCACCAAAUGUUACGGGUUCGAAAUUGAGGAUGAGAGUAAAACAAUGAUGGUCCAGAAGAGGUCAAUCAAACAAUUGAUUUUUAAUGAAUGCACGCAGCGUGGAGAGGUGCAAACUGCAGAACAGUUGUACAUCUCUGCCCAAAAUACACUCUAGAUUGCUUUUAUAACAUCAGGGUAUUGUAACGCCCUUCUUGCGUUUACAAGCACAUAAUUUGCAUGUACAGAACAUUCAUGUAUUUUAAGAAUUAAAUGCAACAUAGAGGUUCCUCCUUGUGGCAUACUCUUCCGAAUAUGGUGAUGACCUAAGGCCUUUGAGGUCACCCUGGACUGGACAUCCUUCCGUCACCUGUAACUAGGCAAACUCAAAUACCACAAGAAGCUGAAUACAUUCAGGCCUUUACUCAGCUACUAUUUUACUGUAACAAUAUACUCAGCCUAUAAGCUUUUAAGAUUAUAGAUUUAACUCAACGAUUUAAGUGGUUGUAACUGCACCUGUAAUAAACAUGUUAAUAUUAGAUUAUGAUAACCCCUGUAAUACAAAUUAUAACAUAAUGCCAACAACUUCAAUAAAUGCUUGGAUGAAAUGAUAAUUAAUGCAAUGAUAAAGAUGAUGGUUAUGAACAGUAACCCUAAAAUAAUUCCUAUAAUUCUACAUUAGGCACCUUCUUCAUUGCACCUUUCUGCAGCUCCAAUAGUUGGCUAACCUCCCUCCAUGCUACCUUGAUCGUGGCCUCUGGUCUACUUCUCCAUGGAGGGUAUUGGUCCUUGUGGCUGUUCAACUUAUAGCCAAGCAUCUCACUGAUCACUGCAACAGUGGUGUAGAUCAGCUGGUUAGUCUCAGUAAUGGUGGCGGUAGGUAUUGUCCGUAGUGCUGCAUUCACAUCAUCUAAUAGAUCUUCUGAGGGUACUUCAUGUAAUCUUGGUAACCGGCUACAGAGGAUCCAGGUUUCAAGCUUCACCAUGAUCCUACCUUUCGGGUCAGUUCCUCUUGCAUUCAACGUUCCUUCUUCCAUCGCACUUGCAGCUUGAUACCCAAUUUUGAGUUGGGAUGAUGAUAUAUCCCCUCUGACCUAUCAUCCUGGCUCCCCCUUGCCGUAGCAUAUGUUUUGUACCUUAUCAAUCUCUAGCCGUGAGAGCAACCUCUUCUUCUGAAUAUUGGAACACUGAGCUACUAGUUGUUUCGCUGUCAAUGUUGAUGCUGGGUAUCGGAGAUACCAUAGGUCCCUCAUCCUAUUCAUGCAACCCCUUUGGCUGGGGCAUUCCAACAGUGUCCUAUUUUUGUCUCUUGCCCACCGAUGCUGUCUUGUUCCAGUAGCCCACUUCUUAUCAGGGUGCCUUAGGUCCUCAACACCUGACACCCACCUUGUUAUUCCGGGCGAUGUUUGAGCUGGUAUGGUAUGACAGAGUUGUGUGACUGUGCAUCACCAGAUCUCCUGUGUGGCUCAUGAUGUACUCUGCAGCAUUCGUGUUGUGAGCCAAGACAUACUCAUGUCCUAAUGUGUCAGCCUGCUGCAAAGUAGAUACCCUUAGUCCAUUUAAAUAAAAACUAAAACACUCGGUUUGUGGCUAAAUUAGUUGCGUGGCCAAUGUAGCACAAUAGCUACAUGCUCAAAGUAUGUAUCAAUAUCUGUCUCUGAAAAUACAGGAACCAAGCAACUGUUCUUACUCAAGUGAAAUAGUGACACACACAUUGGUUCACCAGUGCUAAUAGUGCAUGUAAGUCCCCCGACGGGUCCUGACAGCGCGAGCGCACCGCGGCGACAUCAGCCCGCCACAGCCGGGAGAGCAGGGGAGCAGCGACAGACGCUAGGACAAUGCUUCGUCGGCUGCCUCUGUUGACAGAUACGCCGAGCCCCCGACAGCGUGCAGUAAUGCCUACAACGGCAGCUAAGGUACCGAAAUACAACGGGCUAACCCCGCUAGAGCCCUACCUCUCACAAGUCCGGCUGGCAGUGGUGCAUAGUGGCUGGAGCGACAAAGAGGCUGCUACGCACCUAGCGCUAGCAUUGGAAGGAGAUGCACUGCAGGUACUCCUUGACCUAGCCCUGGCAGAGCAGCAUGAGCUCCAGGCCCUCACCAUGGCACUUGAGAGGCGAUUUGGGCAGUGGCACUCCACUGAUCAGAGCAGGGAGCAGCUGACCAACCGGAGCCGUCAGGCGGGGGAGAGCCUGGGCACUUUUGCAGCGGAUGUGUUGCUGUAUGCUCGUCGUGGCUACCCGGAGUUCCCAGCAGCAGCCCGUGAGGAGCUUAGCCUGCAUGCUUUUCUGUGUGGACUUUCUCCAGAGCUUCUGCGCCAACACGUCCGCCAGGCCAUGCCUUGAACUCUCCGUGAGGCGCUCCUUGAGGCUGAAAGGGCCGAGCUGGUGCUGGCCUCGCGACCUAACCAGGUGACCCCCCCAAACUACCCCCAAAUCAGAGCUGCAGACUGUGACGGGGAGGUCGCGGAGAUAUGCCAACUGCAGCCCUCGGUGCCCCGAAGGCAUCCUCGUCGACUGACUGACCGCUGCUACCGGUGCGAUGAGCCUGGCCACGUGGCGCACAACUGCCCCUGAGCUGCUGUGUUGAGGACCAGCCCUGCCCUGUUGGAUAUGGGGUCUACCAUUUCCCUAAUAUGACCUGGUGUACUUCCCGGAAUGUCCGGGCCGCUUGUGAUGAGUUGGUCACCCACCGACACCCAGCUGAUGACGGUGACGGGGGAGAGGACUGACAUGCGGGGGAAGAAACCAUUGCGGAUCCGAGUGAAGGAUCUGGGGCUGAUGCAUGACUUCUGGCUUGCUGACAUCCAAGACAGUGCAUCAUCGACCUUGAUCUGCUGACCCGUUAGGGGGCCUGCGUUGACACCGUGAAGCUGGCCAUCACUCUUGGUACAGAGACUCUGGCCCUCCAGUGCGGUCAAAAGCAGGGAACGGAGGGGACCAGAGACAGACAAGCCGGGCUUCAGGCAGCUGCUGCUCAACAGACUUCGGGCGCCAGUGGCUCUGGAUCAUCUCUACUCGCCUCAGCCCCAGCCUCUAGGCCUGAUAAAUCCCCCUCAACCGAGACAACCCAAGCUGUUGAUGACCUGUGGCUUCGCAGCAGCGUAGGUCUCACCGUUGACCAGCGCCAGCGGUUGAGGUGCCUCCUGGACGAGAACGUGGACAUCUUUGCCGCUAGCGACAAAGACUGCAGGCAGACGGGGCUGGUUCAGCACACCAUCGACACCGGCUCUGCUCAACGCAUUCAUCUGUGCCCACACCGGCUGCCCAUCUCGAAACGGCAGGUGGCAGAGGAAAAGAUCCACGAGAUGGCUGCGGCUGGGGUGAUCGAGCCGUCGGACAGCCCACAGGCAGUGCCCGUGGUCCUGGUGGGAAAAAAGGAUGGCAGCCUGAGAUUCUGCGUGGAUUUUUGCCGUCUCAAUGUGGUCACCAAGAAGGACUCGUACCCGCUUCCACAGAUAGACAAGGCCCUGGAUUACAUUGCCGGCUCCAGCUGGUUCAGCUCCCUCAACCUACACAGCAGUUACUGGCAGGUGGAGCUAGCCCCCGGCGGAAGGCCUAAGACUGCAUUCACCAUCGGACAGGGGUUGUGGCAGUUCAGGAACUACUGCGUGACUCUGCGUGAGCUGCUCGCCGUAGUAUUGGCGGUGCGGCACUUCCGGCCAUACCUACAUGGCUGCCAUUUCCUCAUGCGCACUGACCAUGCGUCUCUCACUUGGCUCCUUAACUUCAAACACCCAGAAGGUCAGGUGGCCCGCUGGCUGGAGGUUCUUCAGGGCUACGACUUCGAGACCCAGCAUCAGGCAGGUCGGCAGCAUGGCAACGCUGAUGCCCUCUCCAGACGGCCCUGCAUGGCCGUCGAGUGCCGCUACUGUUGGCGGAAGGAGCAGCGGGCCCAGGUGGCACUGGGCGUGGCUACUGCUCAGGUCACAGCCAGCAGAGGGGGAUGGCUCCUGUUGACCACGCAGCAGCUGAAGCAGGAGCAGGAGGCUGAUGCGACGUUGGUUCAGGUGGGGCCUGGCUGGAGGCGGCGCCACGCCCGGACUGGACGGGGGUGUCAGGACAGGGGCCUGAAGUGAAGGCCUGCCACUCCCAGUACAACAAUCUGGAGACCCACGACGGCCUCCUAUACCGGAGAUGGCGGGCCCCCGGUCAGGGCAAAGACCUCCUGCAGCUGUUGGUGCCCUGGUUGCAGGUGCUUGAGCUUGUCCACGGCUAGGUGGGGGCCAGCCACUACGGGAAUGCCAAAACUCUCCGUCGUCUCAGGGGACGGUUCUACUGGCCUGGUUGUCGACGAGAUGUGGAACUUCAUGUGCACUGCUGUGACACCUGCACGGCACAGAAGGGCCCAACUCAGCUCUCCACUGCCCCCCUGCAGCAGUACUUGGUGGGGGCCCGAUGGAGCGAGUGGGAGUGGACGUCCUAGGGCCUUUCCCCGUCACCGAGUCAGGGAACCAAUAUGUGUUGGUGGCCAUGGACUAUUUCACGAAGUGGCCGGAGGCCUACGCGGUGCCAGAACAUAGUGCGACCACGACGGCGGAGAAACUGGUGGAGGAGAUGUUCACCCGUUUUGGGGUCCCGACUGAGCUCCACAGUGACCAGGGGCGUAACUUCAAAUCGAAGGUCUUCGGGGAGAUCUGUCGGUGGCUGGGGGUGGAGAACCACACCGCUCCACCCGCAGAGCAACAGCUUGGUCGAGUGCUUUAACCGCACGCUGGCCACCAAGCUCGCCAUUCUCACCAGCCGCCACCAGCGGGAAUGGGACCGACAUCUGCCCCUGGUCCUCUGGUUGCAGUCCAGUCCAGGAGUCCAGCCAGUGCAUGCCUGCCGCAUUGAUGUUAGGGCAGGAGCUCCGGAUGCCCGUGGAUUUGGUGGUCGGGUCCCCCCCUGAGCCGGAGAUUGAUAGUGGGCCAGAGAUGGACUACUACAGGAGGCUGAGGGAGCGGCUGCAGGUGGUUCAUGACUACACCCGCCAGGCCCAGGCCAGCGCCAGAGUAUGACAGAAAAGAGCCUACGACACCAGGUGCCGAGGGUUAGCUUUCAAGCUUUCGUGCCUGGCGACAAGGUUUGGGUGUACUGCCCUGUUCAUAAGAGAGGAGUGUCCCCCAAGCUGUGCAGUCACUGGCAGGGGUCGGCGGAGGUCGUGGAGCGGCUGACAGAAGUGGUGUACCGGAUCCGCAUGCCGGGCCCGGGACACAUGGUGGUGUUGCAUCAGGACAGACUCUCACCGUACCGACCGCUCGCUCUAGCAGUCGCCGGGGCAGGGGAUGCUGGUGGCACCCCAUGUUCUGAUCCGAGUGACUCUUCCCCAGCCGGUCGAGAUCUGCCUGCGCGUCGAAAGAAGACACCUGGACAUUUGCAGGACUUUGUGUUGGGUAAUGGGGUUGUCGGGGACGACUGACCCCUUAGGUGGGGGCUAUGUAGCGGGUCAAGGCUGUUUGGGUUUUGUUUGACAGCUGUGUUCUGUUGUUUCAGGAGGCAGCGUUAUGUUGCCAUGGUUACCAUGUGACGCUCUCUCUGCGUCUGUGUUUUUUCUGUGUGGGGUGAGAGAGCGCCGUUUUUUUGUUGUUGUUGCUGCUGAAUGCUAAUAAACGGCUGUGCUCCCUGGCUAACUCGGGGGAAGCAAGACCAAACGACACCUCUGUCUCCUCCUUGUCUGAGCUCGCCACAAUAUGUUUGUGGCAGCUUUGGCUCAGGUGGUAGAGUAGGUUAUCUACCAAUCAGAAGGUGCGUUGCUCCAUCACAUUAAAGAAAAGCUGCAGGACACUAGACUGCUGGGCAGUACAAGUAUUCCCAGGACAUGUUCCCAGUGUUGGAGAAAUUGUUUAUCCUUCAUUACAAAACCAGCAUUAAGACAUGGAAUUCCUGUUAUGACAUUAUAUCACUAGAACAGGGAUAACAUCUUUUGGUGAUAUCACAACACGGAAUCACCAGAAUUCUAAAACAGCUGUUGUAUUGUUAUAAUUUCCACUUUAGAAAUGUAGCAAAGCAGAAAGGACAUUUUAACAGUCAGAAAAUGAGAAAUCAGACACUGACUAUCUAGAAGAAGUGAGAAAUAACUUCUUGGCUGUUCAGUAACAAUACAAGCCCUUCUGCACCCAGAGUGUGACUAUAUGUAGACACAGCCAGAAAGUCUGUCAAUAAAACCAACUGGCUGUAUUGGGACACCAAAAAAAUUCAGGCCUUCAGUGACACAAUGAAGAGCUGAAAAAACAAACUGAGGACCUGAAAUAGUUGGUAUGAUGUUCCUUUUCUGAAAUUCUGUGUUACUUUUACACCAGAUGUAAUAGGACACAUACCUUCCAAAAAGUUCAACUUUUUUCUAGUCAGUCCACAGAGUAUUUUCCUAAAAGUCAGAUGUUUUCUGGCAAAACUGAGACAAGCACUUUUUCACACAGGGCCAUGUAGGUUUGGAUUUUUUCCCAAAUAAUGAUAAACACCUUCAUUUAGAAACUGCAUUUUGUGUUUACUUGUGUUAUCUUUGUCUAAUAUUUAAAUUUGUUUCAUGAUUGGAAACAUUGAAGUGUGACAAACAUACAAAGCAAUAGGAAAUCAGGAAGGGGGCAAAAACUUUUUCACAACACUGUAGGAGCAAAACAAGAGCAAAAACUAUUGGUCUUGUUUUCAACAAGUGAUUGGCAUCAUCACGUCUUGCUUUUUGUCCUGGCAGGCAAAAUGAAUUGUGGCACACAGAGUUAUAUUUUAUGUCCAGCUAGUUUUGUUGCAGGUAGAUUACAACCGAAUCCUAUACAUCAUUAUGAUCGCAAAAACCAAGAUGCAGGUGAUCAUAACAAAAACCUUCCUAAGAGGCUUUUUAGUUAUUUAGUUAUAGUGUUACUUUUUACUCACUGCAUUUCACUUCAUUAAGAAAUCAAGAGAUCUGUGUGUUUGUUUGCAAACAGCUGACAUUAUGUAUGUAUUCUUGUAGCAAAUAAACACCUCUCCCCCACAACAAAAAGCAAAAAACAAACAAACAAACAAGAAAAUAUAAAGACACAUGUUGUCCUGCAUGGAAUAAUUAAAAAUUGGAUUUUGUAUGUUUUUGUCUGCAUGCAUUUUGCAUUUCUAUGCCUUACACACAUUUUUAAAACGAGGUUUUAGGUGCCAAGUUUAUAAGUGUUUCUGAUGGAUGAAAUGUUUUUUCGUUUUUUGAAAUAGCAAUACUAAAAAAAACAAAACUCAUUUUCUAUUUUGAAGUUGUAUGUAUACUUUGUCUUCAUUUCCAUAUUUUGUGUUUUGUCCUCUCUACCUAUGAACUCAUUUUCUCUUCUCUUUCCACUCAAUCCCAGCCAGUCGGGGCAGAUGGCUCCCUCUCUCUGAGCCUGGUUCUGCCACAAUAAUAGGAUCUAAUCAUCUCUUUACCUUAUAGUAUAACGUACCUUAAAGUGACUAUUGUGACUUUAUUUAUUAUAGACAUAUAAUGAAUUGAAUGUAAUUUAACUAAAUAAAUCUGUCUUUGUGUAUAAAAGGGGUUUUAUACCCGAAUAAAGAUGUAAAAAAUGUAAGACUAUACAAUUACAGAUUUAAUAUUCAAAAUCAAGCCAUAGAUGCAUACAUUUAAAAGAAUCUGGAGAACAAAAAAAGCAAGGUCAGUAAAGGAAUGUGUCUCAUCAAUUCUAUAUUGGAGAACCAGCAUCUAGUUGUAACUACGGCUUAUAUCCGCUAGGUGGCGUCUUUUCUCCAUCUCUGCUGCUUUAACUUCGGAAAUCCCUCUCCCUGUGCAGUAUUCUCUUAGCUUAUUAACCUUAUGUGUGACAGCACCAGUCGGGCUUCUUUUCCUUGUCUUCUAUGAUGUGACUGACAUCAUUUCAGUUUGGUCCAGGAUCGUGCAGUCCCCGCACAAGUCUGUCACUGGUUCUGUUACGGGGGAGCUUGAUAUAAAACUCUCAUCAGCUUCGUGUGAGCGCGAGUCGCACGAGAGCCGCCAGUGUUUCCUGUGACGUAGGCCAGCCGCACCGCACUGCACUUUAGGGAGCUGCGAAAGGCGAAGAAAAGCGUGCGCUUCUCUCUUGUGGAUGCAACCGGCUGCUCUUAUAAGGUAUUUUCUCUGAAUUGUCGGACACUUUGAUAUGAGACCAAUCAGGGCUGGAGGGGGAGGGUCCUGGGAUUUUCCCGUGUGAGUCGAACCUACACCUGCAGGCGAUAAGGGUUGACAUUAACCUGUCUGUUAAACGGAAAUCACAAUUUCUCUGACAGAACUAUGAUCAGCGCUGAUCUCUAACCAAAGACACCGAGGAAAAGGUGGAUUUUCACAUCACUUGUUUUGUUUGUGGAUUCUGGAUCGAAUCCCAGUGGAGGAAUUUGACAGAACAUGUUUAAUGUGAUGUUACUAACUGCUGGAGACACAAGACAACCGGCUGACUUGCGAAGCUGACGAGAAAAACUCUUCUUACUAGGAAAAAAAAGAUUCCUGAAGAUUUACCGGUGAUAUUUAACAGGUACAUUUUAAUUACAUUACAUUUACAUUUUCUGUAAAUGUAGCUACAAAGUACGUCGCAUGUAAUUGACAAAAUUUUUAGAUUAUUUAUUUAUUUUAUUGAUGUAUUUAUUAUUUAUUUAUAUUUAUUUAUAGAUUUUGUGACAGUAGCUAGUUCUACAAUUGACUCAAUCGUGCACAUGAGCCCACAGUGUACCGUGCUGGCACGCUUUUACGCCUCCCCCCCUUUAUGUACCCGUCUUGGUGACUUCGUGCGCAUACCUGAAAAAUGCUUGCGUGUUCUGCAUGUUCCCACUGGGAAAAUGUUCAGGCACGUGUGAGUGCGCUCAGUUUAAGAAUCUAUACUGUACGUUCACGCUCUUUGGCCAGUGUGUGCGUAUCCAAGUUUGCUUAGGAUGAUGAUGAUGAGUUUGCGUGUGCAAGGUUCACUAAGUGUGUGUCUUCAUGGCAAACAGGCGUAGAAAAAGGGGCAAAACAAACAAGAAAAGAAUUAACUGAAGGAAAGGAUAAAAAGAAGUCGGCGAGCUGCACAGAAACAAAGUGCAGCUCACAGAGACAAUGCGUGUAUAUAUUUUUUCCAUUGUGCAGCAUCCAAUAAGAAGUUGCUGACUUUAUCUAUUUACCUGGAAUCAUCAUCAUUAGCCAUCAUCAGCAAAGUUCAUAAGGCAGGUAGAAACUCACAUUUCAACCACUGUUUAAAUACACUUAUAGCCAUGUGUAUGUAUGAACUUGAACACACUUUGGUAUAUGAGGAAGGGUUGUUGCAAUACUAGGAUUUCCAGCUCAGUGUUGAUCCCUGGGGAAAACAGCAAAGAAGCAUAUUUAAAAAUAAAGCUCAGAACAAUACAAAUAAUAAUAAUAAUAAAUCUGUCACAACACUAUUUUAAAGGUGACUGGUGUAGAGCAAAAAUAUGUUAAGAUACCAGUAAAGUGUGUAUAUCAUAUAUAUAUAUGUAUCUA
Long non-coding RNA from Oreochromis aureus, 10154 nucleotides. The record is from Ensembl. NCBI's taxonomy places the organism in Eukaryota, Metazoa, Chordata, Actinopteri, Cichliformes, Cichlidae.